Molecule: long non-coding RNA, 1071 nt
Organism: Hyla sarda
Lineage: Eukaryota; Metazoa; Chordata; Amphibia; Anura; Hylidae
Exons: 5
Source: RefSeq, a predicted model, not a curated record
AAAUACUGAGUUAGGUAACAUUUCCCUGAUGAAGGAAGCCGUACUUCUGAAACGCGUUGGAGGUAUCUUGGAUCCAAUCCUGUACCGUAGUGAUGUCACGACAUCGUUCUCCAGCGAACCGGGGCUACCACGGUAGAGAAUGCCAACGGCCGGGGCAUACUCCCGCAAUCCCCAACUAGGAUCUUCGGUAAAAGGAUACGCACUCUCUGCAACAUCUCAGAACAAGAGGAAGUGUGGGCGUCACCACCAAGAAAAACAAUCACACAAAAACGCAAGCAAAACGCUAGUAAAAUAUUUAAAGUGAUUGCACUAUAAGUCCAAUAUUCGGCGCACAUCCAUAGGUAUAUGUUUAUAAGUGAACUAGACAUCUAUCCUGUACGUCUCAGUUAGAUCUGCUCGUAUCUAAAUGGACAUUCUUUGACUUGUAGUGCCACCAGCCAAACAACAGGAUUUCACCACCAAUAAUAUACUAAUACAGCUAAAUUCCUGGAACACGCUGGAACCCAUAUAAAUAAGCAUACCUACAGUGCACCCUAAAGAACAACUUAAAGAAUAACCCUGCAAACAAUUAUACCACACUUACACUUUGAUCUUCUUCUUUUAGCCAGAGGAUCAGAAUCAUAGUGAGGAGACAUCUGGGCAUCAAGUUCUGUAGAGAGAAGAUUUAGCUGGAACAAGUCCAGUGCCAAUCAGAAAGCAGCACGACUCAAAUAGAACUCCCGUGAGGUCACACAUGUGAUGUCAUCACCACUGUCAUCAGUGAGGGGCCUAAACUGUAGGAACCUAGGAAUGCAACUUCAUACCCGCCUGUGACUGAUGCACACCUUCCAGGCUGUGGGGCAGCACAUACACUGACACUUUGGCCCAAAUUCUAGAGGUAACCUCCUUUAGUAUGCCCAGAGGAAGGGCAGUACAGUAGCCAUGGAUUCCCUACAGGUUUCCUCCCCUCUGGAGGUUUUUCCUGUCCUGAGUUAGUUACUGUCCGCUCUUUGUGAGUGAUGGAGGUUACAUAAAAUCCCUACACAAACAUUUUAAUAAAUAAUAAAUAAAGUUCCCUUUGUUUAAACUGUU